This 1076-nucleotide ribosomal RNA is filed under the name Nanosynbacter sp. Its description in RNAcentral is "Candidatus Nanosynbacter sp. partial 23S ribosomal RNA". It matches the Rfam family "Bacterial large subunit ribosomal RNA", at positions 464 to 1538 of the family's 2925-position model. Lineage: Bacteria; Bacillati; Minisyncoccota; Nanosynbacteria; Nanosynbacterales; Nanosynbacteraceae. The record is from RNAcentral.
GGCUAAAUACUCCCAUGAGACCGAUAGCGUACCAGUACCGUGAGGGAAAGGUGAAAAGAACUUCGAUAAGAAGAGUGAAAUAGAUCCUGAACCCAUGCGCCUACAAGCGGUCGGAGCAUUUUUAUGAUGUGACGGCGUGCCUUUUGCAUAAUGAACCUACGAGUUACCUUCACCAGCAAGGUUAAGGGCCAUUAGGCCUGGAUCCGCAGUGAAAGCGAGCCUGAAUAGGGCGUAUUAGUUGGUGGGGGUAGACGCGAAACCAAGUGAUCUACCCUUGGUCAGGUUGAAGGUUGGGUAAAACCAACUGGAGGACCGCACCGGUAAGCGUUGAAAAGCUUUCGGAUGAACUGAGGGUAGGGGUGAAAGGCUAAUCAAACUUGGAGAUAGCUCGUACUCCCCGAAAUGCAUUUAGGUGCAGCCUGUGGAGUUUCUUACGUGAGGUAGAGCGACUGAUUGGAUGCGAGGCUUUCACCGGCUAUCAAGUCCAGACAAACUCCGAAUGCACGUUAAGUAAGAUCCACGGAGUGAGGGCAUGGGUGCUAAGGUCCAUGUCCGAGAGGAGAAGAAUCCAGACCAUCGGCUAAGGUCCCGAAAUAAUAGCUAAGUUGACCAAACGAAGUCAGAGUGCGAAGACAGCUAGGAUGUUGGCUUGGAAGCAGCCAUUCAUUUAAAGAGUGCGUAACAGCUCACUAGUCGAGUGCUUUGGCGUGGAUAAUAAUCGGGCAUAAGCUAUUUACCGAAGCUGUGGGAUGUGUAAACAUCGGUAGGGGAGCAUUCUAGCGGCGCUGAAGGUGAGAGGACAACUCUUGCUGGAGUUUCUAGAAAAGCAAAUGUAGGUAUAAGUAACGAUAAAGGAGGUGAGAAACCUCCUCGCCGAAAGACUAAGGGUUCCUGAUCAACGCUAAUCGGAUCAGGGUUAGUCGGGGCCUAAGGGGAAGCCGAACGGCGCACCCGAUGGAAGAACCGGUUAAUAUUCCGGUACUAAUUAUGUGAGCGAUGUGGAGACGGAGAUGUGACGGUCCUGCCAACUGACGGAAUAGUUGGUUGAAGGGUGUAGGAGUUGAUCUGAGUAGGCA